GGGCCCGCACAAGCGGUGGAGCAUGUGGUUUAAUUCGACGCAACGCGAAGAACCUUACCAGGGUUUGACAUCCCCUGACAGCGUAUGAAAGUACGAUUUUUAUCUUCGGAUAGACAGGGAGACAGGUGGUGCAUGGUUGUCGUCAGCUCGUGUCGUGAGAUGUUGGGUUAAGUCCCGCAACGAGCGCAACCCCUAUGUUUAGUUGCUAACGAGCAAAGUCGAGCACUCUAGACAAACUGCCGUUGACAAAACGGAGGAAGGUGGGGAUGACGUCAAAUCAUCAUGCCCCUUAUAUCCUGGGCCACACACGUGCUACAAUGGCCGGUACAGAGGGAAGCGAAGCCGCGAGGCGGAGCAAAUCCCAGAAAGCCGGUCUCAGUUCGGAUUGCAGGCUGCAACCCGCCUGCAUGAAGUCGGAAUCGCUAGUAAUCGCAGGUCAGCAUACUGCGGUGAAUACGUUCCCGGGCCUU
Molecule: ribosomal RNA, 470 nt
Filed under: uncultured bacterium
Lineage: Bacteria
Description: bacterial SSU rRNA
Rfam family: Bacterial small subunit ribosomal RNA
Source: RNAcentral